UACAGAGGGUGCAAGCGUUGUUCGGAAUUACUGGGCGUAAAGCGUGCGUAGUCGGUAUUGAGAGUCACGGGUGAAAUCCCAAGGCUUAACCUUGGAACUGCCUGUGAGACCUCAGUACUAGAGUGUGAGAGGGGAUAGUGGAAUACCCCAGUGUAGCGGUGAAAAUGCGUAGAGAUUGGGGUGGAACACCGGUGGCGAAGGCGGCUAUCUGGCUCACAAACUGACGU
RNAcentral lists this ribosomal RNA (227 nucleotides) under uncultured bacterium. RNAcentral's name for it is "partial 16S ribosomal RNA". It matches the Rfam family "Bacterial small subunit ribosomal RNA", at positions 524 to 746 of the family's 1533-position model. The record is from RNAcentral.